Molecule: non-coding RNA, 190 nt
Organism: Chrysemys picta bellii (western painted turtle)
Lineage: Eukaryota; Metazoa; Chordata; Testudines; Emydidae
Source: RefSeq, a predicted model, not a curated record
AUAGAUCCAGUGGCUCUUUGAGCUCUGGUCAAGUGAAAAAUUCUCUGUUCUUAUCAGUUUAAUAUCUGAUAUGUCCUUUAUUUGAUAAUUCAAACAGUCGCAGAAACUUGCAGGUAAAUAAUAGAGUUCUUAAAAGGCUCUGCUCUGAGUUUUAAAGUACUUUUGGCAGGUUUAGCAAGUGCUAAAGCCU